RNAcentral lists this ribosomal RNA (161 nucleotides) under Heptacarpus geniculatus. Its description in RNAcentral is "partial 16S ribosomal RNA". Lineage: Eukaryota; Metazoa; Arthropoda; Malacostraca; Decapoda; Hippolytidae. The record is from RNAcentral.
ACUUUACAAUUUAUGUUUGCUUCAUGAAUUUUCGUCUAAAUUAAGUGAAAUAUACUAUUGUUAGGUUGGGGCGACUAUUAUAUAGUGUUUAACAACUGUAAUUUAAAGAAAUAAGUUUAUUUAGUUAAUUGAUCCUUUAAUAAAGAUUAUAAGAUUAAGUU